Molecule: ribosomal RNA, 429 nt
Filed under: Gemmatimonadota bacterium
Lineage: Bacteria; Pseudomonadati; Gemmatimonadota
Description: Gemmatimonadetes bacterium partial 16S ribosomal RNA
Rfam family: Bacterial small subunit ribosomal RNA
Source: RNAcentral
UAGGGAAUCUUCGGCAAUGGACGAAAGUCUGACCGAGCAACGCCGCGUGAGUGAAGAAGGUUUUCGGAUCGUAAAACUCUGUUGUUAGAGAAGAACAAGGACGUUAGUAACUGAACGUCCCCUGACGGUAUCUAACCAGAAAGCCACGGCUAACUACGUGCCAGCAGCCGCGGUAAUACGUAGGUGGCAAGCGUUGUCCGGAUUUAUUGGGCGUAAAGCGAGCGCAGGCGGUUUCUUAAGUCUGAUGUGAAAGCCCCCGGCUCAACCGGGGAGGGUCAUUGGAAACUGGGAGACUGGAGUGCAGAAGAGGAGAGUGGAAUUCCAUGUGUAGCGGUGAAAUGCGCAGAUAUAUGGAGGAACACCAGUGGCGAAGGCGGCUCUCUGGUCUGUAACUGACGCUGAGGCUCGAAAGCGUGGGGAGCAAACAGG